UCGGGAAUAUUGCGCAAUGGAGGAAACUCUGACGCAGUGACGCCGCGUGCAGGAAGAAGGUUUUCGGAUUGUAAACUGCUUUAGACAGGGAAGAUGAUGACAGUACCUGUAGAAUAAGCUCCGGCUAACUACGUGCCAGCAGCCGCGGUAAUACGUAGGGAGCAAGCGUUAUCCGGAUUUAUUGGGUGUAAAGGGUGCGUAGACGGGAAGGCAAGUUGGUUGUGAAAUCCCUCGGCUUAACUGAGGAACUGCAACCAAAACUAUCUUUCUUGAGUGCUGGAGAGGAAAGUGGAAUUCCUAGUGUAGCGGUGAAAUGCGUAGAUAUUAGGAGGAACACCAGUGGCGAAGGCGACUUUCUGGACAGUAACUGACGUUGAGGCACGAAAGUGUGGGGAGCAAACAGG
This 404-nucleotide ribosomal RNA is filed under the name uncultured bacterium. RNAcentral's name for it is "bacterial SSU rRNA". It matches the Rfam family "Bacterial small subunit ribosomal RNA", at positions 355 to 776 of the family's 1533-position model. RNAcentral also lists the same sequence under 1 other name. The record is from RNAcentral.